UACGUAGGGUGCGAGCGUUAAUCGGAAUUACUGGGCGUAAAGCGUGCGCAGGCGGUUGGUUAAGUCUGAUGUGAAAGUCCCCGAGCUCAACUUGGGAAUGGCAUUGGAAACUGGCUGGCUAGAGUGUGGCAGAGGGGGGUGGAAUUCCGCGUGUAGCAGUGAAAUGCGUAGAGAUGCGGAAGGAACACCGAUGGCGAAGGCAGCCCCCUGG
This 211-nucleotide ribosomal RNA is filed under the name uncultured bacterium. RNAcentral describes it as "partial 16S ribosomal RNA". It matches the Rfam family "Bacterial small subunit ribosomal RNA", at positions 524 to 732 of the family's 1533-position model. The record is from RNAcentral.